Gymnogyps californianus (California condor) is the source of this 728-nucleotide long non-coding RNA. RefSeq lists it as uncharacterized. The record is from RefSeq and is a predicted model, not a curated record. The transcript is spliced from 3 exons. Lineage: Eukaryota; Metazoa; Chordata; Aves; Accipitriformes; Cathartidae.
CUGGCCAGGGACCCUGACCUGGUUUGACCUUGGACCUGCCUCAUCACCAGGGACUUGCCCAACGAUACGGACUCUUGGUUGAACCUGGCUGCCAUCUCCGGCCCUGCCUUGCGGAGCUGGGUGGGGAGGGCCCCCCGGCUCCCAGCCAGCCCUUAUUCAAACUUAUUCAAAAAGGAGAGACAACCACAGGAGGAAGGCUAAGCCUGACUUUGAGUGGCUGGAUGACGUGGGCAGCCCAUAGUAAUGGGUUAGAUGAGGAAGGCCUAUAUCCAGUGGUACAGUUUGCCUUUACCUCUUUGCAUCUUGUGCAUGAGAUAAAGGAUCUGGAGACAGAAGCAGCAGCUCUGUGCCUAUUUGAUACUUGGAAGAUGAGUAGAAGAUAGAAGCUCCUGUUUUUCAGAUCUGCGUGAAGAAACUGUUUUGAUGUCGCAGAAAUACUCAGCUGCAUUCUACCAGCUUUGCUUUUAUAUAGGGCAGAUAUAAUCUACCACUAAAAUGCUUCACAUGUUUAGUAUUAUCUCUUCAUAAAAAGAUGCUAUAAAGGCUUGUUAUUGGUUAAUUAUUGCUAUAUGCAAGAGCCAGGAAAUCUGUGGUUGUGAGUGUUUUGUAGCAGUUGGUAAUAAAACCCCAAUUGUUCAGAUAUAACUAGAAUCAUAAACAAAUACUGGCUAGUGAUAAGCCGUUAUGCAGUAUGUCUGCACAAAUAAAAUCUGCAAUUUUUUAAACUA